RNAcentral lists this ribosomal RNA (678 nucleotides) under Russula emetica. Its description in RNAcentral is "partial 28S ribosomal RNA". It matches the Rfam family "Eukaryotic large subunit ribosomal RNA", at positions 1 to 653 of the family's 3401-position model. Lineage: Eukaryota; Fungi; Basidiomycota; Agaricomycetes; Russulales; Russulaceae. RNAcentral also lists the same sequence under 1 other name. The record is from RNAcentral.
UUGACCUCAAAUCGGGUGAGACUACCCGCUGAACUUAAGCAUAUCAAUAAGCGGAGGAAAAGAAACUAACAAGGAUUCCCCUAGUAACUGCGAGUGAAGCGGGAAAAGCUCAMAUUUAAAAUCUGGUGGCCUUUGGUCAUCCGAGUUGUAAUUUAGAGAAGCGUCUUCCGCGCUGGACCGUGCACAAGUCUCCUGGAAUGGAGCGUCAUAGAGGGUGAGAAUCCCGUCUUUGGCACGGAUCCCGGUGCUUCUGUGAUGCGCUCUCGAAGAGUCGAGUUGUUUGGGAAUGCAGCUCAAAAUGGGUGGUGAACUCCAUCUAAAGCUAAAUAUUGGCGAGAGACCGAUAGCGAACAAGUACCGUGAGGGAAAGAUGAAAAGCACUUUGGAAAGAGAGUGAAACAGUACGUGAAAUUGUUGAAAGGGAAACGCUUGAAGUCAGUCGCGUCGUCCGAGACUCAGCCURGCCUCGGCUUGGUGUACUUCUCGACCGACGGGUCAGCAUCAAUUUCACCCCUUGGAUAAUGGCGAGGGAAAUGUGGCACCUUUGCGGGUGCGUUAUAGUCCCUCGUCGCAUGCAAGGGUCGGGAUUGAGGAACUCAGCACGCGCCUUUUGGUGUCGGGGCUUUUGCCCACGAUACGUGCUUAGGAUGUUGGCAUAAUGGCUUUAAACGACCCGUC